GAGCCUACGGGAGGCAGCAGUCGGGAAUAUUGCGCAAUGGAGGAAACUCUGACGCAGUGACGCCGCGUAUAGGAAGAAGGUUUUCGGAUUGUAAACUAUUGUCGUUAGGGAAGAUAAAAGACUGUACCUAAGGAGGAAGCCCCGGCUAACUAUGUGCCAGCAGCCGCGGUAAUACAUAGGGGGCAAGCGUUAUCCGGCAUUAUUGGGUGUAAAGGGUGCGCAGGCGGGCUGUUAA
This 235-nucleotide ribosomal RNA is filed under the name uncultured bacterium. RNAcentral describes it as "partial 16S ribosomal RNA". It matches the Rfam family "Bacterial small subunit ribosomal RNA", at positions 335 to 586 of the family's 1533-position model. The record is from RNAcentral.